UCUUCAUUUCACGUGCUCUCUCGCCGGCCAGAAUGACGAGAGAGUACGUGAAAUGAAGAGA
Pristionchus pacificus is the source of this 61-nucleotide non-coding RNA. NCBI's taxonomy places the organism in Eukaryota, Metazoa, Nematoda, Chromadorea, Rhabditida, Neodiplogasteridae. The record is from Rfam.